RNAcentral lists this long non-coding RNA (1671 nucleotides) under Heterocephalus glaber (naked mole-rat). Its description in RNAcentral is "lncRNA (ENSHGLG00000044672.1)". Lineage: Eukaryota; Metazoa; Chordata; Mammalia; Rodentia; Bathyergidae. The record is from RNAcentral.
GCUAUUGAGUUCUAAGCAGCCAUUAUAUGAUCAAAUUUGUGCUUUCCUGAUAAUUCACAUACUAACAGUAUAGCAAUGCAAGCUGAAUUAGGAGAUUAUUAUAAGUAGUUCAGAUAGGAGAUGAGGUCUUGAACUUGUCAGUGAAGUGAAUUCCAGAGUGACAAUGAGAUUGGAAAGGUUGUGUGGAGGUAGAAUCAAUGGGAUUAAGUGUGGCAUACUGUGGCAGCUAUGUCCCUUACCUCCUCCCACCACCCUCACGAACUUUUCAUGUCAUGCUGUAUCCAUGUCCUUAAGAAGUCUCCUUCCAGACUAAUUCACAUGACUUACUUUUGCCAUUGGCAUAAUAAUUGUUAGUAGAGGCUCAAAAACUCCUUGCAUUUUGGAACUUAACACUCCUAUUGCAACAAUCCUUUUGUCACCAUGUAAUCAAAUCAAGGCUACCCUCCUAGAAGGGGGCCAUUUGGAGAAGGGCCCCAUCUGUCCCAGCUAUCUCAGCCUUCCCAGUUGAGGCCCUAAGCAUGUGAAAGGCCAUCCUAGAUUAUGCAGCUGCAACUGAAGAAUCAAUAAAUCAACACACACAAUUGUAAGAAAUUUAAAAAAUUGUAAGUCUCUAGAUCUAGGGCAGUUCAUUUUCCUUUUUUUUUUUUUUUUUUUUGUACACAGGUUCUCGCCAUGUAAAUUGAGGCUGGGCUUGAAUUCGCUACGUAGCUCAGCUGGCCUUGAACUCGCAGCGAUCCUCCUCCCUAAACUUCCUGCUGAGAUUACAGGCAUGUGCAACCAUGCCCCACCGAGGCAGUUCAUUACAUAACAAAAAUUAACUGAUAGCCUGAGUGACCAUUUACAUGUGGGGUGAAAGAGUAAGAGUCUAAAUGGAUCUUUUUUUUUUUUUUGGUACCAGGGAUCGAACUUGGGUCCUUGCGCUCGGAGGCAGGCAGCAGAACCACUGAGCUAAAUAACUGGUGCUGGAUCUUUACUUUUAUAAGAGUACCAGGGAUCAAACUCAGGACCUUGCAUUUGGCCAACAGGCGCUGGCACCAUUGAGGUAAAUCCCCGGCCUGAAUUUGAGAUGUUCUUAAUACUAUCUGCCCCAGAUAGGAAAACAUCUGCCUCUUUUGGUACCUGUUUCCCUUCCCUCAUAGCUUGUUUUUCCUCUCUUCUUGCCCGGUUAUUUUGUCUUGGCCUUGACAGGCUUCCUUUGAACACAGGUGUUUGUUGCUUUCCUGUUUCAUUCAUAUGUGAUACAGCUGAUGGUUUAGAUAUUUGUUCCCUAAAUAUCUGAGGACUAAUUUGGAAUGUUAGUGUUUUCUUUGGGGUGUAAUUAAAUAGAUUGUUUUUAUUAAAAUACUCUUGGUUUAGUGUAUUUAUAUUCCCAGUCUUACUCUAAGUUCUAUGAGGGUAUGAACUACAGUUAGUCCUUUUUCAUUGUAUCCUCUAAUUCGAGGAUGGUAAAUAUAUAGCACCUUGUUGCCAUUCUGCUUAUCCACACCAGUGGUUAAUAUUGACAACUCAUUUCCAAGUCAGUCUUGUUCACCCUGGACUCACCUCAGGUUCCGUGUGUGUGUGUGUGUGUGUGUGUGUGUGUGUGUGUGUGUGUGUGUGUGUUACUGGAAAUUGAACCCGGAGCCUUCACAAUGAGCUAUAUUCCCAGCCCUUUUUAAUUUUGAGACUGGC